GAUGAACGCUGGCGGCGUGCCUAAUACAUGCAAGUCGAGCGAACAGACGAGGAGCUUGCUCCUCUGACGUUAGCGGCGGACGGGUGAGUAACACGUGGAUAACCUACCUAUAAGACUGGGAUAACUUCGGGAAACCGGAGCUAAUACCGGAUAACAUGUUGAACCGCAUGGUUCAAUAGUGAAAGACGGCCUUGCUGUCACUUAUAGAUGGAUCCGCGCCGCAUUAGCUAGUUGGUAAGGUAACGGCUUACCAAGGCAACGAUGCGUAGCCGACCUGAGAGGGUGAUCGGCCACACUGGAACUGAGACACGGUCCAGACUCCUACGGGAGGCAGCAGUAGGGAAUCUUCCGCAAUGGGCGAAAGCCUGACGGAGCAACGCCGCGUGAGUGAAGAAGGUCUUCGGAUCGUAAAACUCUGUUAUUAGGGAAGAACAAAUGUGUAAGUAACUAUGCACGUCUUGACGGUACCUAAUCAGAAAGCCACGGCUAACUACGUG
RNAcentral lists this ribosomal RNA (497 nucleotides) under uncultured bacterium. Its description in RNAcentral is "partial 16S ribosomal RNA". It matches the Rfam family "Bacterial small subunit ribosomal RNA", at positions 28 to 507 of the family's 1533-position model. The record is from RNAcentral.